This 693-nucleotide ribosomal RNA is filed under the name uncultured Lactococcus sp. Its description in RNAcentral is "bacterial SSU rRNA". It matches the Rfam family "Bacterial small subunit ribosomal RNA", at positions 1 to 704 of the family's 1533-position model. The record is from RNAcentral. Lineage: Bacteria; Bacillati; Bacillota; Bacilli; Lactobacillales; Streptococcaceae.
CGCCCUUAGAGUUUGAUCAUGGCUCAGGACGAACGCUGGCGGCGUGCCUAAUACAUGCAAGUUGAGCGUUGGUACUUGUACCAAGAGCAGCGAACGGGUGAGUAACGCGUGGGGAAUCUGCCUUUGAGCGGGGGACAACAUUUGGAGACGAAUGCUAAUACCGCAUAAAAACUUAACACAAGUUUAAGUUGAAAGAUGAUUGCAUCACUCAAAGAUGAUCCCGCGUUGUAUUAGCUAGUUGGUGAGGUAAAGGCUCACCAAGGCGAUGAUACAUAGCCGACCUGAGAGGGUGAUCGGCCACAUUGGGACUGAGACACGGCCCAAACUCCUACGGGAGGCAGCAGUAGGGAAUCUUCGGCAAUGGACGAAAGUCUGACCGAGCAACGCCGCGUGAGUGAAGAAGGUUUUCGGAUCGUAAAACUCUGUUGGUAGAGAAGAACGUUGGUGAGGAAACUCAUCAAGUGACGGUAACUACCCAGAAAGGGACGGCUAACUACGUGCCAGCAGCCGCGGUAAUACGUAGGUCCCGAGCGUUGUCCGGAUUUAUUGGGCGUAAAGCGAGCGCAGUGGUUUAUUAAGUCUGGUGUAAAAGGCAGUGGCUCAACCAUUGUAUGCAUUGGAAACUGGUAGACUUGAGUGCAGGAGAGAGAGUGAAUUCCAUGUGUAGCGGUGAAAUGCGUAGAUAUAUGGAGA